UUUAUGGAGAGUUUGAUCCUGGCUCAGGAUGAACGCUGGCGGCGUGCCUAAUACAUGCAAGUCGAGCGAACGGACGAGAAGCUUGCUUCUCUGAUGUUAGCGGCGGACGGGUGAGUAACACGUGGAUAACCUACCUAUAAGACUGGGAUAACUUCGGGAA
RNAcentral lists this ribosomal RNA (160 nucleotides) under Staphylococcus aureus. RNAcentral's name for it is "partial 16S ribosomal RNA". It matches the Rfam family "Bacterial small subunit ribosomal RNA", at positions 1 to 155 of the family's 1533-position model. The record is from RNAcentral. Lineage: Bacteria; Bacillati; Bacillota; Bacilli; Caryophanales; Staphylococcaceae.